GGAAUCAAAAUGUUGUGGAGCACUAUUCUAGUGGCUACAUGGUGGAUUGUCUAGAAGGAAAGAAAUUAUGAUUCUUGAAGGCGAAAGGGAAAAAAAUUGUACCUUAUAGCAUAGAUGUUUAGCUCUUUUAACCUUUCGAUGUAACCAUGAAAAUGCACAGGAAGUAGAUAGGAUAUGGUUAAUUUCCUUUAUUCUUUUUACAUGCAGCUAAUAUAUAUACGGCUUGGGUUGUAUCAUUGCACUUGCUGGG
RNAcentral lists this unclassified non-coding RNA (250 nucleotides) under Hevea brasiliensis (rubber tree). Lineage: Eukaryota; Viridiplantae; Streptophyta; Magnoliopsida; Malpighiales; Euphorbiaceae. The record is from RNAcentral.